UAAUACGUAGGCAGCGAGCGUUGUUCGGAAUUACUGGGCGUAAAGAGUCUGUAGGCGGUGCUCUAAGUUCGGUGUGAAAUCUCCUGGCUCAACUGGGAGGGUGCGCCGGAAACUGGAGUGCUUGAACGUGGGAGAGGAAAGCGGAAUUCCUGGUGUAGCGGUGAAAUGCGUAGAUAUCAGGAGGAACACCUGUGGUGUAGACGGCUUUCUGGACCAUUGUUGACGCUGAGAGACGAAAGCGUGGGUAGCAAACAGGAUUAGAUACCCUGGUAGUCCACGCCCUAAACGAUGCAUACUUGGUGUCGGCCAUUCAGUUGGUCGGUGCCGGAGCUAACGCGUUAAGUAUGCCGCCUGGGGAGUACGGUCGCAAGGCU
This 374-nucleotide ribosomal RNA is filed under the name uncultured bacterium. RNAcentral's name for it is "bacterial SSU rRNA". It matches the Rfam family "Bacterial small subunit ribosomal RNA", at positions 521 to 895 of the family's 1533-position model. The record is from RNAcentral.